CGCCUGUUUAUCAAAAACAUGUCUUUUUGUUAAUUAUUUAAGGUUUGGCCUGCUCCAUGAAUAUAAUUAAAUAGCCGCAGUAUUUUGACUGUGCAAAGGUAGCAUAAUCAUUAGUUUUUUAAUUGAAAGCUGGAAUGAAGGGUUGGAUGAGAAAGUUUCUGUCUCAGUAUUAUUUUUAUUGAAUUUUAUUUUUAAGUUAAAAAGCUUAAAUUUUAUAAAAAGACGAGAAGACCCUAUAGAGUUUAAUAAAUUUUUAUUACAGUUAUUUGUAGGCUUUAAUUUAAUUGUUUUACAAUUUAUUUAGUUGGGGUGACUUAAGAAUUGAAUAAACUUCUUUUUGUAUUAACAUUGAUUUAUGAAUGAUUGAUCCUAUAGUUUAGAUUAUAAGAAUAAAUUACCUUAGGGAUAACAGCGUAAUUCUUUUAGAGAGUUCUUAUCGAUAAAAGGGAUUGCGACCUCGAUGUUGGAUUAAAGUUAAAUUUUGGUGCAAAAGCUAAGGAUUUG
This 504-nucleotide ribosomal RNA is filed under the name Alosimus decolor. RNAcentral describes it as "partial large subunit ribosomal RNA". It matches the Rfam family "Bacterial large subunit ribosomal RNA", at positions 1797 to 2575 of the family's 2925-position model. Lineage: Eukaryota; Metazoa; Arthropoda; Insecta; Coleoptera; Meloidae. The record is from RNAcentral.